This 491-nucleotide ribosomal RNA is filed under the name uncultured bacterium. Its description in RNAcentral is "bacterial SSU rRNA". It matches the Rfam family "Bacterial small subunit ribosomal RNA", at positions 377 to 860 of the family's 1533-position model. The record is from RNAcentral.
GCGCAGCUGAUCCAGUCAUGCCGCGUGCAGGAAGAAGGCCUUCGGGUUGUAAACUGCUUUUGUCACGGCAAGAAAAGGCUCCUUCUAAUACAGGUGGCUCAUGACGGUACCUGAAGAAUAAGCACCGGCUAACUACGUGCCAGCAGCCGCGGUAAUACGUAGGGUGCAAGCGUUAAUCGGAAUUACUGGGCGUAAAGCGUGCGCAGGCGGUUAUGCAAGACAGAGGUGAAAUCCCCGGGCUCAACCUGGGAACUGCCUUUGUGACUGCAUAGCUAGAGUACGGCAGAGGGGGAUGGAAUUCCACGUGUAGCAGUGAAAUGCGUAGAUAUGUGGAGGAACACCGAUGGCGAAGGCAAUCCCCUGGGCCUGUACUGACGCUCAUGCACGAAAGCGUGGGGAGCAAACAGGAUUAGAUACCCUGGUAGUCCAAGCCCUAAACGAUGUCAACUGGUUGUCGGGAGGGUUUCUUCUCAGUCACGUAGCUAACGCGU